Molecule: ribosomal RNA, 305 nt
Filed under: uncultured bacterium
Lineage: Bacteria
Description: bacterial SSU rRNA
Rfam family: Bacterial small subunit ribosomal RNA
Source: RNAcentral
GUCCUACGGGGGGCAGCAGUGGGGAAUAUUGCGCAAUGGGCGAAAGCCUGACGCAGCGGCGCCGCGUGAGGGAUGAAGGUCUUCGGAUCGUAAACCUCUGUCAGCAGGGAAGAACGGUCACUGUGCUAAUCAGCAGUGAAUUGACGGUACCUGCAAAGGAAGCACCGGCUAACUCCGUGCCAGCAGCCGCGGUAAUACGGAGGGUGCGAGCGUUAAUCGGAAUUACGGGGCGUAAAGCGCUCGUAGGCGGUAUGUCAAGUCAAGGGGGAAAUCCCCGCGCUCAACGUGGGAACUGCCUUUGAAAC